Molecule: long non-coding RNA, 2151 nt
Organism: Lagopus muta (rock ptarmigan)
Lineage: Eukaryota; Metazoa; Chordata; Aves; Galliformes; Phasianidae
Exons: 4
Source: RefSeq, a predicted model, not a curated record
CUCUCUUGGUGUUUUCUGGUGAGCUCAGCUGAAGGUGAGUGGAUAAAGCAUGAAUAGAUAUCACCAGCAGAUAUGGACAGACAUUGCUGUGACUUUGUCUUCGCAAGGUAAAAUGUGGAGACCCUGAAGUGUGCUGAAUUUCUGGACUGCUACAGUGGAUGGAUUUAGUCUUCAAUUCUACAUCUUGGAUGAGAGAAAGAUUUCUUUUCCAUUUUUGUGGAUGCCGGGACAGAACUUCAUGAAGUAAUACAGUGCAGACCAACCAAUUGUAUUAGGAUAAAUGGUUGUGAGACAAGUGGACAACUAGCAUUUUCUUUUUUCCUAUCAAAUUAGCUUUAUAAAUUGUAUCUCUGGGUUGUAGCCUCUCCAAGAUGUCACUUAUGACAAGAAGUCUCAUAUUUCUCCAUAUGUAUUUUCAGAAAAUAUUUCAGAGCAGAUUAGAAGACAAUAUGAAUGAAUUUAACCAGAACAUGGAGAACCUAUGUGAACUUCACAGCCAUUCAUAGAAUCAUUGAACCAUUUUGGCUGGAAAAGACCACGAAGAUCAUCUAGCUAUCAACCCAACAGCACCAUGUCCACUAAACUACUUCAUUCAAUGUAACACUACUCUUUUCCUGAAAACUUCCAGGGAUGGUGACUCCACCACCACCCUGGGCAGUCUACUUGAUAUGGCACUUUCACCAAACUUCUUUCAUUACCAAAGGUACUGAUUUUGUUGUGACUUGAUAAAGUUUUCCCUUUUAAUCAGAUAUUUUAUUCUUGGUUGCUUUCUCUUUGAAUUUUUCCCUCAGAGAGUUCAGCUGAAAGAAAGUUUCUCAGCCAUCUGGAUUGAUAAUCCUUAUCUUCAGUCCUUAAAUAAGCUUCUACAUUUUUCUUCCUAUAAACAUAAUCGGAAGUUUUGUCUAAAUAAAGAUGAAAGGCCCAUUCCAUCCAUACUUACAUUAUUUCCAUCAUGAAUACUCAUUGCUGUAUAUACACAUAGCCUCCUAAUGUUCAAAAUGUAGCUUCACAAACAGUGCUACAAGCCAGGGUAGUACUUAACAUAAAGAAUCUCAUGAUGUCCUUCAUUCUUGGCAAUUGAUAUCAUACCUGCUUCUGUGAGCUUUAAUCUCUGUGUUCAUACUUAAUCUGUUUGCUUGCCUAUGAAAAUAUUAGCUUUAUAAUAAUUUUCCUUCUCUAUAUCUUGUAUAUAGAUGGCUAAAUAAUUCUUGUCAGUCUUACAAGGGCUGAGUAUGUGUACUGUUGCUGAAUUAGAGACUCUCUUUUCAGUUAGAAGGUCAACACAACAUGGAUACUUCAAAAAUCAAGAAUGAAAUUUUAGAAGCAUUCCCCUUCUUGAUUAUUUGGAAUAUUAUGUGUUAAGAUUUAUUUGUUUAUUUUAACUACACAGCUGUUAAUGCUUUAAAAUUCUUCUUGAUUUGACAAUGGGAGAGUUGAAGCAACUAAUUGCCACAGCUGUGAACAGCCAUCUCCACUAGUUCUAGCAACUGUCAAAUGAACUUUCCCUGAGAGUUUCUAGAUUAAUUAAGGGAUUAUAUUAUACUUUUUUUGUAUUUCCAGGGUUGACUAUAGAAUAAUAUUCUGACUGGUUAAAAAAAAAAAAAAAAGAGAGAUUCUAACUAUGACUAUUCAAUUAUAAAUGAAUAUGGAGACACUAAUCUGAUGUAAUUCAGAAUAGCCUUAAUGCUUACUUACUCUGUCUACCUCAGACAAGAAUGGUGGAAGACUGCAGAUGAGUUAAGCUUCAUUAACCCUUGCAGAGUUGUAUAAUCUGGAGACUAGAAACCAUGAAUUUAUUGCUUCUGAGCUUUGUGGGAUAUUCUCCUAUUCAAUAAAGCCAGAAAAGUUCUGCAGAGCUCCUUUCUUCUAGAUGUGUGAAUUCAACAAAUUAAAAAAAUAACAAUCAUGGUUGACUGAAAAUUCUGAAACUGAAUUCUGGGAGCAUUGCUUAAAUGCUUCUUGAACUUCAGAAGUCUGGUAUCACAGCACUGGAGCCUGGUCUAGCACCCAGCCACCCUCUGGUGAAGAAGUUAUUCCUUACAUUCAAGAUGACCCUCUCCUGGCACACCUCCAUGCCAUUCCCUUGGGUCCUGUUGCUGUUACCAGAGAACACAGCUCACCUUGUGACGAAGCUGUAAGCUGCCAUAAUGC